CUAUCACUCCUACGGGAGGCAGCAGUGGGGAAUAUUGCACAAUGGGCGCAAGCCUGAUGCAGCCAUGCCGCGUGUGUGAAGAAGGCCUUCGGGUUGUAAAGCACUUUCAGCAGUGAGGAAGGUGGAGUCGUUAAUAGCGGCCUCAUUUGACGUUAGCUGCAGAAGAAGCACCGGCUAACUCCGUGCCAGCAGCCGCGGUAAUACGGAGGAUCCAAGCGUUAUCCGGAAUCAUUGGGUUUAAAGGGUCCGUAGGUGGAUGAUUAAGUCAGAGGUGAAAUCCUGCAGCUCAACUGUAGAAUUGCCUUUGAUACUGGUUGUCUUGAAUUAUUGUGAAGUAGUUAGAAUAUGUGGUGUAGCGGUGAAAUGCAUAGAUAUCACAUAGAAUACCGAUUGCGAAGGCAGAUUACUAACAAUACAUUGACACUGAUGGACGAAAGCGUGGGGAGCGAACAGGAUUAGAUACCCUGGUAG
This 471-nucleotide ribosomal RNA is filed under the name uncultured bacterium. RNAcentral describes it as "bacterial SSU rRNA". It matches the Rfam family "Bacterial small subunit ribosomal RNA", at positions 330 to 793 of the family's 1533-position model. The record is from RNAcentral.